UGGGGAAUAUUGGACAAUGGGGGAAACCCUGAUCCAGCCAUGCCGCGUGUGUGAAGAAGGCCCUAGGGUUGUAAAGCACUUUCAGUAGGGAAGAAAACCCCAAAGAUAAUACCUUUGGGUCUUGACGGUACCUACAGAAGAAGCACCGGCUAAUUCCGUGCCAGCAGCCGCGGUAAUACGGAAGGUGCAAGCGUUAAUCGGAAUUACUGGGCGUAAAGCGCGCGUAGGCGGCUAGAUUAGUCGGGUGUGAAAGCCCCGGGCUCAACCUGGGAACUGCAUUCGAUACUGUCUGGCUAGAGUGUGAUAGAGGGAGGCGGAAUUCCGCAUGUAGCGGUGAAAUGCGUAGAGAUGCGGAGGAACACCAAUGGCGAAGGCAGCCUCCUGGAUUAACACUGACGCUGAGGUGCGAAAGCGUGGGGAGCAAACAGGAUUAGAUACCCCCGUAGUCC
This 449-nucleotide ribosomal RNA is filed under the name uncultured prokaryote. Its description in RNAcentral is "bacterial SSU rRNA". It matches the Rfam family "Bacterial small subunit ribosomal RNA", at positions 355 to 796 of the family's 1533-position model. The record is from RNAcentral.